Long non-coding RNA from Loxodonta africana (African savanna elephant), 9307 nucleotides. RefSeq lists it as uncharacterized. Lineage: Eukaryota; Metazoa; Chordata; Mammalia; Proboscidea; Elephantidae. The transcript is spliced from 2 exons. The record is from RefSeq and is a predicted model, not a curated record.
CUUUCUGUUUUGAAAUACAUUUAUUUGCACUUCUGUCUUUUUAGUUCUUAACAAACUCACACACAAGGAUUAAACCAAAAACCCAGUACCGCAAGGAUUAAGUUUUUAAAUAUAGACUUACUUACCUCCACCUCUCCAGUAGAUGGGGUUGUAUCAUUGCUUGAAUUUAGAAUUCCGUGGUUAUUAGAGGACUGUAUCGCGUGAAACCAGGCAUGAUGAAUAAAACCAUUAGAAUUUUACUUAAUGUUUUAGAUCUUUGUGUUCUCUGAGUGGUAUAUUCUUUGUUAAAGCCAUUUGUGAACUAAAAUUUUAAGGUAACAGCCAAUCUAGUAACUCCUUUUCCAGGGUAGAUAGCAUCUCACUGGUUGUUUCCAAAUGUGACCUGCUGUUCUAAUGUAGUGACUAUUAUUGGAUGCUUUUUGGUAAUAGGCUCACUUCAGGUUAUUAAUUGUGCUCGUGAUUCUGGGCUCUUUAUGUAAGUAAUCCAUUUUUGUUGAUAAUGAGAAGAAAUAGGGAGAGUGCUAGUAUGUUUGAGACCAGAGGCUUAAAAAGUACCAAGUGUUCUUACUUUAGUCCUCUUUCAUCCAGUCUGUUUGUCUGGCCUUCUGGCUGUAUAAUUUUUUUUUUUUUCCUUCUUAUUUUGAGAUGAGAGCAGUCAAAAUAAAAUACAUACUCACGGGGUCCGCUGAAUUAAAGAGGAACACAAUAAAGGAACAGGACUUAAGGUUUAUGGUGAAUUAGUCAUAGUUUAUAUUAAAGAAUUUAUGAUGUUAAGAUGGACUUUCUGACUGCUUAAAGACACUGCUUUACAAACUGCCAGUAGGUAUUAAUAUCUGAGAGAAAAAAAUGCCAGUUCAUAGUACCAUUAGAGUUGGGAAAGUGACUAUAGAAAUUCCAGAUUCCUACAAGAACCAAAUUCCUACAAGAACCAAAUUCCUACAAGUACCAGAUUCCUACAAGAACCAGAUUCCUACAAGAACCAAAUUCCUACAAGUACCAAAUUCCUACAAGAACCAAAUUCCUACAAGAACCAAAUUCCUACAAGUACCAAAUUCCUACAAGAACCAGAACUGACCCGAUGUGACAGAGGUGAGUGCCUCUCAUGAACAUGGUAAAUAUGUAAAUAUGCUGGGACUGAUUUACAGACUGUUUUAAAAAAAUUAAUGAUAAGCAGCUUUGCGCCACUGUUUCCAUAUAAUACUCAUUUUAACAUAUUAGUGAUUUAAAUUCCUCAUUCAUUAAUAUGGCACUGGGAAUAAUUGGUCGUAUUUAUAUUCAUGAAAAGCCAUAGAAUGUAAAUGUAGCAUAAAGAAAUUCAGCAUGGGCUGGGUAGAUAAUUUAUUGCUAGUUGACGGUCUUCACCCAUAUCGUAGACAAGGGAAUGAAUAUUAUCUUGGGGGAUUUGUCAGGACCUCUGCUCCCAAGUCUGAUUUUGUACAUUUUGCCAAUGAGCACGGAGAGGUGAUGAGGGGUAGUUUGAAGAAAACAGAAUUUGAAAUCAGAACACUUAACGAUUGUGGGUGAUUUAAGCUCUUAGAUAUUUAUUAGUCUCAUCAAUAAAGUGGAGGUGAUAAUGCCUUAUAGAAUUUUUAGGAAUAAUUAAGAGUAUGGACUCAUUUAUUCAUGCAACAAAUACUGAGUUCCUGUGGCACAGUGGCUAAAGCGCUUGGCUGCUGUCCGAAAGGCUGGCGGUUUGAACCCAUCAGCUGCUCCACGGGAGAAAGAUGUGACAGUCUGCUUCCAUAAAGAUUACAGCCUUGGAAACCCUAUCGGGCAGUUCCACCCUGACCUGUAUGGUCACUAUAAGUCAGAAUCAACUUGAUGGCAACUGGUUAUCACUGUGCCAGACAUUGUGCUAGGUAACAAAUAAAUGUUCCUUUUCUUUGGAGGACAGUGUUGGUGUGCUGAUCACUUUUUCAAAUCAUUCAGUGUUGUGAGGGAGCUGUGGAGUGGCAUAAUUGGGACUUGGGAUCAGAGUUAAGGUGGAACAAGAUAACCAAAUGGAAUCAAAUGGAAGUUUAACAGCAGAAAUGCAAAGUUUUGCAUACAUGAAUUCUGCAGUUAAAACGUGGAGGCGCUGUGUGUAACGGCAGCUUGCUGGGAGCACACAGCACUUGAAACAGACUCUGCUGAAUCUAAGUCAGCAGUGGCCGGUGUCCCUACAGCCUCGGGCAGCAUUUCCCACAGUAAAGUGCCCUCAGUGAGUUAGGGAAGAGAGUCCCACUAUCUCAGGACAGCUAAGAGGUUUUCGGUUUUGAGGCACACUUUGAAAGGGUGUCCAUGCAUUGGAGUAGGACGGCGGGGAUUUGAAGUCUUGUAACAGGGAAUGCAUGAAGGAAAUAGGGCUGUUUAGAUAGGAGACAAGACUGUGGACAGGACAGAGCCGGGAGAAGGGUUUAUGAGGUCACUGUCUGCAAAUAUUUGCUUAACGGUCAUGUGAAAGAUGAUCUGAGGGACAGAAAAGGGCUGAACUGUUGAAGGCUCCAGGAGGCAGAUACUUGACACAAUCUUAAAGAAGAUCUAAUCGUUAUAGAGUUGCCUAAACAUGACAUGGGUUGCCUUGGGAAAGUAGUGAUGAGAAUCCCUGUGAUGAGACUAUCUUGAUUUCAACUAUUGAUACAUACUCACUCUUUGAUCGCUCGAGGUAGUUGAUUAUAAAGUUCACUAUAAUCAUUAUUUGUGAUUCUCCUAUUUUACCUAUAUUGUACAUGUAGAAUUUAUUGAAUUGGUGUAUGUUCUGCUGUGUAUAUUCUCAACAACAAAAAUCAGUAAAAAAAAAAAAAAAGUAAAGGUCCUUUUCUUUUUCUUUGACCCUGUAUUGAAAAGGGAAGCUCUGUAUUACCAGAUUGACAUGAGGUAGCUAAGCAUAUAAAGUUUUUGCUCCUAAAAUAUCAUGGCUGUUUCUAAAUGUGACAGGUUAUUCUAAUAUAGUGACUUUUAGGGAAUUUUUUUUGAUAAGAUGCUCACUUCAGGUUAUCAUAUUAACUGUGCAGAUGAUUCUGGGCUCUUUAUAUAAGCAAUCCAUAUUUGUUAAAAAUAAUGUAGAUUAAAAAACAAAACCCUGUUAGCAGUUGUAAUUUUUUUCGUACACUCUCCGAGAACAGCAGCUCUAAACUAGUUCUUUGGGACACUAAUAUACUGAUCACUGGUGAGACAUCCAUGGCCUUGAAUUAAGAUAAUUGGCGCAGUGAAGGAAAGUUCAAGGAUGAUUUGCUCCUUUUCAAGUUAGAGGGGGUUCAUAUCAUAUAUUUGCCUCUUGUGUGCAGAGAAGUGGGUGGGAUUGCAGACAUCUGGGUGAGAAUGGUGCCUCACCCCUGUGAACAGCCCUGGGAGAGAGUGGAGGUGGAAGGAGGCCUGCGAAGUAUUUGGUGCAGUUAUAAUUCCUAUUGAGUAGGGAUUGAUUACUGUGUAGGGGGAUCAGCUCUAGUGAUCAUCUUGUAGUAAGAUUCCAUGAGAUCGAAAUGAAAAGAUCACUAGAAAACUAAAAAAUGACCCAGAUGAUACCAGUACGUUGAACCCAGCCUGAUAGUAACUAGUCCAUUUUGGUGGGAAAUCCUUUGAAAUAGACACAGCAGUUUUUGAUCACUAGGCUGCUGCCGGCAGUUAGUAAUAGGGUUUGUACAUACAGAAAACCUCAGCCCUUAGUGAUUUUUAGUAACUACUUGUCUCUAGUUCGUUGGGACUGCGAUGCUGUCUGUACUGGUUUCCAAAGGCACUUUUUCAGCUAGUUCCAAGGUGGCCUAAGAUGCCAUGACUGAGCUCACAGGUGGCCCACAGCCAGGCAGGCAGAGCUGCCAUCCCUGCCUCUCAGCCAUUUCCCCUGGCUUUCCAUUGUACUCCAUGCUCAUGAGAGAACACUGGUGGUUUGCAGAAAAUUUAGUUCUCAAUGUAGAAGGUGUGAUUCUUUGAAGUAAAAGAAUCACGCACAGACUCCCAGAGACUUUUGACGCCCCAGACAAAGGCUGACGGUAUUGCUUAGUUGCGCUAUUCAUAAAACAUUUAUUAAAUUGCUCUAAAGUGCCAACAGAGUUUUCUGGGCAUGUGUAGGGGGAAGUCACAGCCAGGUUUCACAUGGACAGUUUGUCUGUAGCUACAGUAAAAGCUGCGAAAGCCGGGACCUGUGUAAGGCGGGAACCUGUCAGAGAAGGAAAACUCCCAUAUUUUCCAUUAACAGAGAGGGACAGAAAAUUUGUAAGCUGUACCCUGGCAGAGGCAGAAAACUUGCGAGAUCCAGAAGAGUGAAGCAGUCCCGUGGAGCUGCAGCUCUCACAGGUUUCACUGUGUAAGAACAAUGGGAGAUGCCUCUGGUGAGGAUGGAGCCCAUGCUGCUUCUACAGGGAGACUUCAUUCCAGGUCUUGGCCGUUUACUUGUUGUGUCACCUCAGGCAGCCGCCCUUAGCUGUGGGGCCCGUGAUCUGUGCAAGUGACGGAAGCGCUCUUAGAAAAAGCGUACCAUGUAAAAUCUUAGGUACAACUUUAUUUUCACAAGUGAAGUGAGCCUUGUUAAUUUAUUAUAGAAAUAAGAAUUCCUGCUGCCUGUAGUUGUUAAAACAGUCUUGGGUUGGAAAAAUCUGUUGUUCUGGCUAGUAGUUAAGAAUGCCUAAGAUUUCAAACAGCAGAAGUUCACAGUAAUUACGUUGCAGUGUUCUUGGUAUUCCUCAUGCUAUUAUCUGUCUUAGACCACUCCAGAGUUCUUUGUUUUCUUUUCCUUUUGGUCAAAGUGUAGAAAAGUGUGACUUGCUGUUCACAACUGCUUGCUUUUACUCAGCUAGUAUUUAUUUCAAGGGACGAUUCCUGCCUGGGUCGUCACCAGUAGGGAAGGUUGAUCUUUCCCUUUUCCCACAUAAGCCUGAAUAAGGAAGAUUCCAGAGGAGAAGAGUGGCCAGAAAUCUAUUGGAAACUUGAUAGACUUGACUUUUUUGGUUCUUGUUUUAUGUUUGAGGAUAGUUUCAUUUUUUUUUUUUUUAUUGAAAUGCAAAGUUUGCAAAGGAUUGUCUUAAACUGGGAAAUAAAAGAAUGGGGUUUGUCCCUGUAUAUGUAAAACCAAAAAGGAAGCAGCAGAGAAAGCAUCAUUUUCCUGGGGCAUUAGAUUUGGAAAGAAAUAAUAGAGUUCAUCCAGUCCAGCCUCCCACUGGUGAAUAAACACUCAUUUUGUGUUUAUAGAAAAAACUAUUUGAAGUUGGAAACAGGAAUUCGCAUUCAAAAAUACUUUGUUGCCUAAUUAUUUUUUGCUUUGUCUAUUAAAGAAUUUUUUUCUAGUGAAAUUAUAUCUAAGCCUUUAUUAUAUAUACAAAAUUAAAUAUAUUUGCAUUUAUGAAUUAUUUAGGCCCUUCAUAGUUUUUUAUACCAUUGAAUGGGUCGUCGGUAGAGAGGGAGUGUUUUUACUUAGAUCUGAAACCAUUCAAAUGAAUAGUUGAUUUUUCAGUCACUUUCUUAUUAUUAUGCAGGGUAGCUUUAAAAUAACUUUUGCAUCUUCUCCCCAAAAUACCGCCCUGCAGGUUCUGCUAGUGCUGGAGCUUACCCAUGUGUUCUGAUUACUUUCUGCCAAAAAUGUCUGAGCCUGUGUGUGUUUGGGUGUCGUGUUCAAAUGAUUUUAAGGUUACAUAUAAUCUAUAAUUUGUUGUUUUUCCUGUGAAUUUUUGUUCUUAGCUGUUACCCCAGUUUUGUAGUAUAAAGGACUAAAGACAUGAUUGUUUGCCUUGAAAAAAGUAGUAGUCAUUAAACAUUGUGAAAUUAAAAGGUUGUUGACUAAAUAUUAUGACAUGGUCUUUCCCGCUAGAGAGCUAGAUGUGAGGCUAAACCGUUAUUCAAGGUUUAUGGUUGAUUUUUCUUAGAGUUCAGGUGUGUUAAACUUCACUGUCUGUCUGCCUUCUACGUUCAUUACUAGAAUCCUACCAUCUCCUUGUAAAUUCACCAACAAUGGAUCUCUAUGUUGAAUUUAAUUGAUUUUAGCAGAUAACCAUAGAUACAAUCUUUGUAAAGUAGAAUCUUGUAUUUCCAGAAUGUGUAUUGUUGGCUUAGCCAUUUUUUGUGGACAUAGGUACGAUUACUCUGAUGUGAUCAGAGAGAUGUAAUCAAAGUUGGGGGAAAAAAACCCAUGAGAUACGAUAAAGAAAAGAUAGGUGUAUAACUACCUGGGUAUAUUUAAUACAUUAAAAAAGAAGGGUGCCAUGGGUAAGUCUUACUCUGUCAGUCCUGUUUCAGAGAUCUGAAAAUUGUCAAUGCUUUGUCCAUUGAUAUGUAUAUCCAGGUCAGUCCUGUUUGGGCUCUUAGAGACCAGAGGAUUUGCAAGUUGAGGGAUUGUCUUGUCAAAAUUCUCCAUCUUGAUUUGAUAUUCACCUUUGGAACCUCGGGCCAACAGAGGUGCAAAACAGUGAUGUAACAUGAUCUCAGAGGGUAGGUAGGAUGUCCUCCUUUGGCAUAUUUCUCCAGUGCCUUCCUGCAUUGCUGAAAGGAACACGACUAGUUCAAAGUGGGGAGGAUUUUCAUGCUGGAGCAGAGUAGCCAGAGGACUCGAUGAUGUAAUGGAGUGGUAGUAGGUCAGUGGAAAGAUAAAGAACGGACAUUCCUCGGAACCGAUGCCGUCAAGGUGGAAAUCCACACUGGUCUGGUAGAGCUCACCAUUUUCUCUUUCCUGAUAGAGUACAGCUGAGACCCGAACACUAGUUAGAGGGCUAGGUCGAAUGUUGGCCACUUGGAAAAUAAGAUUGGGUUUGCCAUCUCUGUGAGCUAAUACUGCUAAGUGAGUAAAGCGAAUUGAGAAAGCUCGAUUUUUUGGCCGGGCAAUCUUCGCCACAAAGGCACCUAAAUUAGAAACCAUUGAAUUUUUUUUAGAAUGUUGACUAUAAAUAUCAAUACCUUUUCUGAACAAGAAGGGUAUAUCAAAUAGUUAAACAUUUCUUAGGUGCCAUGACUUCUAAAUGAGUAGGGAAUUGAACGCAUGGUUUGUUAAUUGGGGUUGUCUCAUUUUGCCUGGAGAAUUUUUCAAAAUAUACGUACAUUCUUACUUUAAAAACCAUGAUUUCAAAAUGGACAGGCAUAAUUCAUCUUGUUACAUGAAAAUGUAAAUAAAACCAUAUCCUCCACUUUCUUACAGAGUCAAAAGAAUUGGUUAUUUCCUAUAUUCCUAUCUCUGCCUUUUUUUUUCCUUUUAAUGCAAUGGAAAAUAAAUAUAGGUUAAUUACAACCAGAUUAUUUCAAGUUGCAGUAGAGACUAGAUUCAGAGUAGAAUGUUUUGGGGGGUGAGAAGAGGGCUAGUGGAAUGAGUGACAUGUUGGACAAUUUUUUAACUUCGAAUCUUAAUAUAAACCUUUCUUUUUUUUUCUUAGAAGGCACUGGCUGCAUAAGGUGAUUUCAGUGUAUCUUUUAGGUGUAUCUUCCCUGUGCCCCAAACUACAGAUUGUGCCACAGAUGCUGUUGACAGGCUGGUGAGGCCAAUGGACCUCUUCUCAGAAUUAUGUUUUAAAAGUAUAAAAAUAAAUCCCCAAGAUUCAGUGGAAACCAAAAUGUAUUAAAAUACAGUUGAACAUUUAAAAUGUUUUCUAAGUAUUCUAUAUGCCUUAUUAACACAUUAAAUGACAAAACCUAGUGGCAGGUAUAAUACUGUAAUUUUGAAGUAUUAUAGCAUGAUACGAAAAUAUCUGUGAUUUUUGUUUGUAUCAAAGUUGUAGAUACUGCUGAUGCUACUGCUUUUGUUGCCUACAUUCAUUAUCAAAGGAAAUGCCAAAUUUCAGGUAGAGGUUAGGGUUAGUGAAAAAGGAUUUAAGAUUUCCCAUCUAAGUUCACAGACCCCACUGAUUUUAUCCAUGAACUGGCCCAGUUUAAGAACUCUUGUUCUAGAAAUUCAGUGAUUUCUUGCAGGUUGUAGAGCCAGUGGGUAGCACGCUGGGACUUGAUCCCAGAGUACCCUUCAGAUGGCCCGAUGCCUGCCUUCUCAGAUUAUUGGAUAGUAUGUUAAAACCAGGUUUUCUUUGUUUUGUUUUAAUUGUAUCAGUUAUUAAAAAUGACACUAAACCUACCACUUUAUUAGGGAAAGGAGUCUUAUUUGUUACCAGGUUUAUAAGCAAAAUUUCAUAAUCCUUGUAGCCAUGUUUCCAAGUGUAUUUUGUUAAGAAUGUGUAACCUUAAUUUUUUCUCUAACAUAAUGCUGACUGUGGUGCCCUGGGCUCAGUGGUAUUGAGUAAACGUGGAAAAGAUAAAUCCAGAGGAGAAAAUUCUACCCCAGUGAAGAAAAAAAAUACUAAAUUUCUCCCAUUAGGUAAAAUGACUGUCAAAAUAGGCACUGAAUGUAUUUAUACACUUAUUUAACAAAAAGUUUUAUUUCUCUGAAAAACUUCCUUUAGCGUUCUCCCUAAUACUUUUUGGCAUAGCAUGUUCCUGCCAGCCAGUGUCCUAGUCGUCCCUUUUUUUCUUAAAAAGUUCCAGUAGGUAGAACCUAAGUUUAUAGUCAGGUCCCUUAUGAUUUCUUCUGUUGUUUGGCCCUGGACGCCCUCAGCUCUGUCUCAGGCCUUGCCUACUGAUAACGCAAAUCAAUCACCCCAUAACAGAAUCGCUGAUAACCAACUACCCUUUCCAAAACACUUGCUGUUUUUUUUUUUUUUUAAAGAACAAAGACGAUUACCUGUGAUAAAAGCCUCUAGCAUGAGGCCUAGGAGCAUUUGUAUGGCCAGUAAGGCGAUUGCACUUGGACAGUCACCACUGGGGAACAUGGUACCAUAACCAAUUGUGGGGCGUCGUGAUCUAGUCCCAGAUCACCAUUCAUCUCCGCUAGGACAUACCAGAGCACUGCAAAGACAAGCCAGUGGACAAGAAAAGAAGCUGAAAAGACCAGCAUCAUCCAGCGCCAGCGCAUGUCCAUCAGGAUUCCCCAGGCAUCUCGAAGAUACGCAAGGCUCCUUUGAGCACCAUCCAUUUGAAGUGUGCUGUGGCCAUCCUUGGUGACCAUCCUCCGGUAUCUCUGAGUUAGGAGAGGGGCAAUAACUUUGCAGUUACUGCCAUCCAUCUUAGGCUGGAAUUCUCUGAAAUCAAGAGUAAAUUAGUAAGCCCUUACCUGUUUUACAGUUAUAAUUCCUAAAUUCGGAGACCUCACUCAUGUUCUGCUUUGUGCCUAAAGCUUCCCUGACUAUAACUUGGGAAGGCUUUCUCAGUCUGAUAGCUUGCUCUCUCUUUCUCUGUACAUAAGGGGCCAUUUAUUAAGUACUUUUCCUUUGAAUAACUGUUAAAAUAGUUUGACAUUUUAAUGUUUUCCAAGUAUAUCUUAAAGUUCCUGAGGGUGGUGAUUGGUUCAUGCCCGUUUGAUGCCACCAUA